GUACUUGGCCGACGCUGCGCUCCUCCACUCUCCAAUCCCCACCUCACUCCGCUUGUGCGGCCGCGUGGAGGCUGCCUGCCGCGGCGCUCCGGCUGCGCUCCGAUCCACGCCAAGAGCAAGGACCCCAGCGCCCCCCGCCGCGCGGCUCUGACGCGAUCGGCGCCGUCGAGCCACCCCGGAGCAUCCCCUCGCGUGUGAAGCUACCCAGUUUGCUCCAGGAUUGUGUCCAUUUAAGAAUAUGGCUAGAAAGAGGAACCCAAUUGUCUAUCUGGACGUAUCCAUAGGUGAUGAACUAGAUGGAAGAAUGAUCUUUGAGUUAUUUGCUGAUGUUGCUCCCCUGAUAUCUGAGAACUUCAGAGCUUUAUGCACAGGUGAGCUGGGAAAGACUAAGAAGCCAUUAUGCUACAAGGGGUCAACCUUCCACCGUGUCAUCAAGGGGUUCAUGGCACAAGGAGGUGACUUCGCAAAAGGAAAUGGGUCUGGUGGAGAAAGCAUAUAUAGUGGGAAAUUUGCAGAUGAAGCUUGUGUCCUACGCCAUGAUGAUCGUGGUCUCUUGACAACAGCAGAUACUGGCUCCCAAUUCUGUAUUACUUUCAAGCCUAAUUCUCAUCUUGACAGGGUCUUUGGAUCUGCACUGUUGCCUAAUUCAAAUUGAACAACCCUGCUUGUAGAAAUAAAACACACUGUUUUUGGCAAGCUUGUUGUUGGAAAUGAUGUGUUGAAGAGGAUCGAGCAAGUUGAUGUGCAUGAAUCUGAUUCGACUCCCGUUUUUCCGGUUAGGAUAGUAGAUUGUGGGGAGCUCACAGACCGCAAACAACAAGAUUCUGUGACCACUGAAAAUGAUAAAAAGAGGGCUGCCAAAUCAAAAUUGAUGAAAGAUAUAUCUUCCGAUGAGGAAAGUAAUGAAGGACAACACAAGGGGCGUCAUAAAAAGUCAUCAAAAAGGAAAAGGAAGAAGAGGAGAUAUUCUUACUCGGAGUCAGAUAGCUCUUCUGAGUCAGAAACUGAAUCAUUGGAUUCUGAGAGCGAUUCUGAUACUUACUCAAGUGACUCAUCUGAUGUCAGUAGCUCAAGUGAUGACAGACGAAGGCGCAGGAAAAGACAAUCAAAGAAAAAUAAGCGCAAGCGUUCAAGAAGAAAGCGCGACCAUAGGCGUGAGAGAAGGCGUAGGAAGCGUGAUAGGAAAGCAAAACAGAAGUCCAAAAGGUUGAUAGAGAGUGACAGUGAAUCUGAAAGUACAAGUGAUAGCAGCUCUGAGGAUGCCAGAAGGAAGCGACACCGUCGUGGGCGAAAGUCGAAGGCAUCGUCUCAAGUUUCUGCGGAAAAUCUUGCUGCGGUAGCUGUUUUGAAGGAAGCCACAUCAACUCAACAAAUGAGUGGAAUGCCAAGGAGUCCGGCACAAGAAGAUAACUCCCCCCUACAAAAUGGGGAGAUCGAUACAAAUGACGUUAAUGAAUCAAAAACUGAAAGGAAUGCAGCUAUAAUGCCUGUUCUAACUGGCAAUCGAAGCAAAUCUAGGUUUCCUAUACUUUUUCACACAUCAUUCUUUGUGCUUACUGCUUCUGCAAGCGGUGUUUCAUCUGACAUUGAUAAGCAGGAGCCAGAGCAUGAGUGCUAAUCACUCAAUGAGCAAGAGUAUGAGUAUCAGUCCAAGGAGAAGCCCGAUUAAAAGGUCAAUUACCACCCCGAAGAGAUCAGCUAGCAGGAGCCCUGUUCACUGUAGUCGCAGUAGAAGCCCUGUCCAUGCUCCCAAAAGAAGUAAAAGCCGGAGUCCAGCUAGACAGCGGAGCAUCACCAGGAGCCCUGCUAGAAGAAGCCCCAGCAAGAGCUCACCCAGAGAUGCAAGCAGAAGCCCGACUCCCCGCGUAAGCAGGAGUCCUGUUAAAGGUCAAAGAAGCAUUAGCAGGAGCUCAGCUAGGUCCAUGCAACGAAGAACUCCAAGCAGGAGCCCAGAGAGAACUCAUCUACGUAAAAGUGUCAGCACAAGCCCACCUGUGGAGAAGAGAAGAAGCAUUACGCGGACCUCUGCAAGAUCUCCAUUGCGAAGUGUUAGCCGGAGCCCUGCUAGGUUUUCAGUGAGCCCACAUAGGCCUUCAAGGAGAAGCCCAAUCAGAAGUCCUCGAAGGAACAUACGUAGAAGCGUGAGCAGGAGCCCUGUGAGAAUACCUAGAAGAAAUGUGAGCAGGAGCCCUGUACGAGGUGGUCGACCUCGCAGAAACAUCAGCAGAAGUCCCAGUCCACCUCGCAGGGCAAUGUCACCCCCACCAAACAAUGGGCGGAGCCCAUCCAGGACCGGCUCUCCUGAUGGGUCUCCAAAACGCAUAAGGCGGGGACGUGGUUUUACUCAGCGGUACUCAUUUGCAAGACAAUAUCGCUCACCAUCUGCUGAUCGCUCGCAUCGAUAUGGUGGAAGAAGUGACCGUGACAGAUACAUGGGUUACCGGGGUUCCCGGCAUCGAUCACCUCCUCGACGGUAUAGAAGCCCUCCCAGAGGCAGACCAUCAUCACCAAGGUACAGGAGGAGGGGCCGAAGCACCUCACGCAGCCCUGUCCACAGAGACCGAGGAAGGGGAGGAGGUGGCUACAGCAGAAGCCCUGUACGGAGUCGCUCGCCCCCUGCUGGGAAACCUAGGUCACAUGGUGAGCGUGCAAGGUCAGUCUCCAGGAGCCGCCUGUCCUGGUCAAGAUCAAGGUCUCCACCACCAGCACAUGAUCGGUCUCCACCUGAUUCCCCAUCUCCUAAGCACGCAAGUGAUGAGAAGUCCCGGUCCCCGUCUCCAUCCCGGUCCCAGUCCCGGUCCCGCUCCCUGUCUGCAAGCCCUAGUCCUGGAGGCAAGAAAGGCCUGGUUUCGUACGGAGAUGGCUCCCCAGAUUCUGCUGGAAAGUAGGAAGCACUAGGCAGCGAAAUGUUUUUUCAACAUUUGGGCAGUUGGGUGUUGAUCGAUCCAUUGGCUCUAUGUUAAAUUGCUACUGGUAGUCUGUAGUGAAGCUGUUUUGAUACUCGAGGCCUUGGUGUUGCUAUCGCUGUAGAAGUGUUAAAUAUUUUGUUUGGGAUCAUCGCGGAUGUGGUUCAGUUAUCUUCAGACAAAUAAUCUGAGCCUAGCAUGUGUUUUUGUAGAACAUGUUGCACGGUUUCUAUUCGGUGGAAUUUAAUGAGAACCGUAAUAAUAUUUUGUUCUUGAUACCGA
Molecule: RNA transcript, 3188 nt
Organism: Panicum virgatum (switchgrass)
Lineage: Eukaryota; Viridiplantae; Streptophyta; Magnoliopsida; Poales; Poaceae
Gene name: peptidyl-prolyl cis-trans isomerase CYP95-like
Exons: 14
Source: RefSeq, a predicted model, not a curated record